UGGCAGAACAGCUUCUAGCAGUCGAG
RNAcentral lists this non-coding RNA (26 nucleotides) under Mus musculus (house mouse). Lineage: Eukaryota; Metazoa; Chordata; Mammalia; Rodentia; Muridae. The record is from RNAcentral.